This 1105-nucleotide long non-coding RNA is filed under the name Sinocyclocheilus grahami. Its description in RNAcentral is "lncRNA (ENSSGRG00000002485.1)". Lineage: Eukaryota; Metazoa; Chordata; Actinopteri; Cypriniformes; Cyprinidae. The record is from RNAcentral.
GCGCGCCUUGAUGAGAUUUAGGCCAUGAUGCGUCACUGUCCGAGAAAAGAUCAUGAGCGGCCUAUAGUGAGAUCUUCAAACCUCAUCACUUACAGCACAGGCCAUCUGCCCAGCUGAACUGAAACAUGGCUGCUUUUAAAAUCUCGUCCUUGAAUGAGUUCAAUGGUUUGCUUUGAUUUUUUUCUUUUUCAGAUGACAUUAUGCACCGAGUCUACUCGCCGACUCGACAAAUAGUCACUGGUUACUUGGGAUAAACUACCUGGAGGACAAGCAAAACACAUUUUGGAAGUGGAAUACAGGACGUUAGUUUUUUUGUGUGAAAUUACAGUACAGGCAGUGGUGAAGAAUGAACCCCAUGAAUAUGAACAGUCUGAACGUGUCCGUCUCUGGGAACCAGCACACGUAUCAGUACGCCGUCUAUGAGUCUCCGCUGUUUAAGGACUACAGACCUCCAGCCAGAGAUCUCAUCCAGUUUCCCAGAGCCUUGCUCUACCUGAUGAUGGCCGCGGUGGUGGUGGUCGCUGUCGCUUAUGCCAUUGUGGGACAUUUAAUUAAAGACCUUGCGCAUGACAUCUUGGAUUGGGCUUUAGGUCCGAAUGAGGAGAUCUUAAAGGCCAACAGUGAGGCAGGUGAUGACGGUUCCACACACAUGCCACCAGGCCUCACACACUCCCACCCCAACGCCUUCCACGUUUGGGAUCAGGACGACGUGGUCAUCCCCCUCUCUCCGGAGCACAGCCCCCAGAACAGCCCUCUUCUGGCUGUUCUCCCUUUUAUUCCUCACUUCUUCCCCUCUCCUGCCUCUCACAGUAUGCUCAACAGCCCUGCACUGCCCCAAAUACAGCUGGAGGAUAACAAGAGCCCCAACAAGACACCACAAGAGGCCUUCGUCUUUCCUUCACCUAAAAUUACAGGACAUAGUUCCACUUUCUCACACGUGUCAUUCCAUGAGAGGAGAGAUGGGACAGAUAACGUUUGAACCACUGAACAAUGGCUCACACUAGACUGUAGUCCACGACUUCUUAAAGGAAUAGUUCACCCCAAAAUGAAAAUUGACUCACCCUCAGGACAUCCAAGAUAUAAAUAAGUUUGUUUCUUCAUCAGA